GAAACUGAGUAAAUAGAGGCUCUGUCAUUUAUGAGGACUUUACAGGAAGUAUUCAUCAAUCUCACUUCUCCUUUUGCAGGCACUGUUCUUCCCCAAGGAGUCCAUUGCUUUAAGUUCAGGUUUAAAAUUCCACAGGGGGAUAUGCCAUCAUCCUUCAAGGGGAUUCAUGGAAAGAUUGUCUACAUGCUUGAAGCCAAGGUGUCCAGGGGCUGGCUGAGGUGUUCUCGACUACAAACAGAGCUCAAUUUUGUUUCAAAGUCCCUUUCACACCUUGGCCAAGUAAUGGUAAAUGGGACACUACAAUAUGAUACAUGUUAUGAAUUUGAUACACUAUUUCCACUUUCCAAAUGAACUUCAAUAUUUUAUGAUUUGUGCAGCACUUACUGGCUGUUAAAAAAAAAAAAAACAUUUGGCUACAACUAAAAGAAUGGAAUAGAGGAGUUGAGGGAAAGAAAACAAUAAAGAGUUACAGUAAGUGUUUUUUCAUGACGUCUGUCAUGGAGAAAAUGCUAACAUUACAGCAGUGUACUAUAUCAUGGAAGAAGCAGGCAACAGGACCUUUUGUAAUCAGAGUCUCUAUGAUGUGAUCACGUGUAAUAUGUUGAGCAAACACGCAAACCACAAACCAGUUUGAAUAAACAAUAAAUGGGUCGAUUUGCUGUAGUUCUUCCAGUGUGAAGUAAUUGGUAGUUUCCAAAGCAAUGCUUUCAAAGUAGCUUCCCCAACACUGAAUGUGAAAAUAAGAUAAGAUAGACUUGUAAUUGUCCUGAAGGAAAUUUGUCUCGGACAAACUCACUGGUAUCUCUUUAUCUAUAAGGCUUGAAUUGGAAAACUGCCAUCUUACCUACAGAACUUCUCUGUUACUCAGAGGGACAUUAGCAGACUUGCUCCGCUAACUGGCAUUUACUUCAUGUUCCACAAGCUCCGUCUGAACUUAGAAACACUGCUUUUAUUUUUAGUGCACCUGACUCCUGGAACAAAUUACAACACUUUCUUAAAAUCAACUCAAUUGUGCCUCUUGGACAGUCUGGUUUAAAACCUUCAAACUUAUUCUUGUAACUGCUUUACAGAAUUGUAUUUUCUUUUGCAUCCCUAUUAUCCUAAUGUAUUUAUUAAAUCAUUUUCCAAUUCUGUCUUUCUGUAUUUCUUAUGAUUGUAUUUUCUGUGUUAUGUCUUUGUGAUCUGACUGAAUUUCACGUGCCUUGUUCAGCUCGAGUGCCUAGACUGAUCAUUUAUUCAGUGUUUGUUAGUUUAUACCUGCCCUCUCUACCUCACUCUUUUGCUUGGAGACUAGUUAAAAGAAAAUAGACAACAUGUGACUAUUUUUUUUAUUAAAGUCAACUAAGAGGGCAAUUAUACAUUUAUUUUUAUUUUUACCAGUAACACCAGACAACUACUUCUAUUUAAUUACACAGUACUUUGCAAAUCUGAUUUGUUAUACUCAUAAACUGCCAGUGUUUUCUCUGAUUUGUAAAUUUAAAUAAAGAACUGUC
Sander lucioperca (pikeperch) is the source of this 1493-nucleotide long non-coding RNA. RefSeq lists it as uncharacterized. NCBI's taxonomy places the organism in Eukaryota, Metazoa, Chordata, Actinopteri, Perciformes, Percidae. The transcript is spliced from 2 exons. The record is from RefSeq and is a predicted model, not a curated record.